Molecule: long non-coding RNA, 1541 nt
Filed under: Equus caballus (horse)
Lineage: Eukaryota; Metazoa; Chordata; Mammalia; Perissodactyla; Equidae
Description: lncRNA (ENSECAG00000035590.3)
Source: RNAcentral
GUCAGGGAAGGCUUCUCUGAUGAGCUGACAUUUGAGCAGGGACAUGCAUGGUAACAGUCUCUAGCCUUAUGAAGCUCAGUAAGAACCACGUCCCUGAGGUUGGAACAAAUGGACAAAAUGAAGAGGAGAAGAUGGCAGAUUGCUUAAUUUCUUGAAAUGUGAUGAUCAAGAACACAGCUUGGAAGUUCAACGGACCGUAAGUUUGAGCCAAGACUGAACCGCAAAGGACACAUUCCUACUUUCACAGGUGUGGGAUGCUUUUCAUGUUAAUUAUAUGUGAAUGAGAAAAGCCACAUGCAAACAAAGUCGCCUGCAGCUGGACUAAGUAGCUACAGUAUGAGGAGGAGCACGGGAGAUGUUUGUGCAGUAUAAAAAUGAUGAAAUCCCAAGACGAUGGUCUUAGGUUGUAAAUGAAUGAGAUCUUCUGAAUCUGGGAGAUGGAGAUCUUUUUGGUUCUUCUGCUAACAUAGUUAAGGUCAAUAUAAAGAAAAUGAAUGUUUUCUAGAAUCCACAUUGGCUCACGUUUUUGGCCUAGUUGAUUUUGCAGCAAAGGAGAAAACUUCAAAAAGUUGUGCUCUCUCUGGGCCCUGCAGUGAAGUUUUGGCCUGGUGCCUAGAAACACCUCCAUGUUACUCAGAACAAGGCGAGGUGCAAACCAAACCAAUGGCACGGAAGGUCCCUUGCUGCUUCUAGAAUCUGGUGUGUGUCCGUGAUCCCACUCUUCUCUGCACCUCUGCCUGCUCUCCCAAAUGAAGACUGCCCAUCCGGCUCAUCACCUUGGUCCUACCUAGCUUUCCAGGCCAAGUUCAAAUUCUUCCUUUGCAAUGGAACUGAGGACCACCUCAUUGGUCCCAUAUAUCUCUUCUCUUCUUGAUCCAAAUCCCUGCUCAAAAGGAAGAUUAGCCCUGAGCUAACAUCCAUGCCCAUCUUCCUCUAUCUUAUAUGUGGCAUGCUGCCACAGCAUGGCUUGAUAAGUGGUGUGUAGGUCCAUGCCCAGGAUCUGGGCUGGCAAACCCUGGGCCACUGAAGUGGAACACUCAAACUUAACCACCACGCCACCCGGCUGGCCCCCUUCGGACACAACUUUUAACCUUCAUCAGCCUCAAGUGACCACCUGUAAAACGGCUACAAGGUCUGACUGUCUAUGAGGCUGUGAGCACUUGGUGAUGUUUAAUAAACAGGGCCUGGACUAGGGCAAGAAUGGCCAGAGGCAGAACCAGAAACGUAGGGAGAAGGUUUUCCUUUGCAGCUUUCUGAGAGCCCUUACAAGCACUUGAUCUUUGUUCCCUUCAGCAACAAUGGAUGAGAGUAUACAACAUUGGAGCCACAAAGUGUGAACUGACGUAUGAAUUGGAGAAAGAUGUUUGCCGGGUAGGAGGAAUGUGGAAGACCACGCUGGCUCCAAACUGUGAAGACUGAGGCACAUAUUAGAAGAGUCUUCUCCCCAACAGCUCCCAUCUAUACCAGUUACCAGUUUGCUGCUUCUACCCCAACGACCAGGCCGUCUCCCCUACGCAGAAACCUAUUAACCCUAGGAGGUG